RNAcentral lists this long non-coding RNA (3751 nucleotides) under Gallus gallus (chicken). Its description in RNAcentral is "lncRNA (ENSGALG00010005865.1)". The record is from RNAcentral. Lineage: Eukaryota; Metazoa; Chordata; Aves; Galliformes; Phasianidae.
AGAGGGGACGCGUCCCCACCGCCGCCCGCUCGCACACGCACGGCACUCCGCCGCCGCAGCGCUCUUGGAGCGGCACCGCGGCUUGCUCGGGGCUCCUCGGCUCGCGCUUCUCUCCUCAGAAAUUCAGGCAGAGCCGCGGCGGAGAGCGGGAAAGGUCCCCCUUCUGCUCUGCUGACGGAGGCUCCCACCGCCCCGGCAGAAGGAGCCCCGCUCUGCGGAGCAGAGAAGCCCCAGUCCAGCCAAGACUGGCAGCAAUUGGACGCCUGUGGCUGUGCAAUGCCCCUCGCCUACAUGGAGACUCCGGGCAAAGUCUGCACCCUCCUGCACAAUCAAUGUCUUCACAUUAAAGGUUUGUACUGCAGGAAACUAAUCUGAAAGCUAUCUUAAAAUCUUUUGUCUUAAAAUCUUUUUUUUUUCCUUUUUCAGGAGAAAAAAAAAAAAAGUGCAUAUUCAGAAGAGAAUUCUAAUGUAAGAAUUCUUCUGCUAGUAGUAAGACUUCAGCAACUUAAAGCUAUGUUGCACUGUGGAAAAAGUGAGAAUAUUGGCUCAUCUAUUAAGACAUCUCAGAUCUCAGCCCUUCUGAAUGAACAUUGAUCAAUGCUGUUUCUUAAUUUGAUGUAGUCUUUUUUUUUUCCCCAUUAUUUUUUACAUACGUGAAAUUGAAAAAGAAAAAUUGAGCAGGAAUGAUCACAACCGAUUUACUGCCCUGGAAGAAGAAGGUGCCCUGUAUUACUUUGAUUUGUGAAAUCGUGCGUUUUAUAAAAAGCCACUUUUCACAUGUAAGCAAGAUCUUUCAAUAUUUCAGAAGACAAUGGCACAACCUCUGGAGAAUAAAGGCAUUGAAAGAAGUAGCUAAGAGGAAGACAAACACAGCACAGUUUGUGGGAAUUAGCACCCUUUACAAAGCCUAGAUGAGGGCAGAAACACACUGAAUCACAUUCUUCCAACGCGAUAAUUUUUACUCUUGUUCACACAACUGAAUAGCCAAUAAGCACGAAUCUCCUCCCGAACGCUUGCAGCCCGUUACGCAACGUAAAUUGGGCACAUAGGUAAUGAUUUCACGAUAUGAAGGAAGAGAAUGAUGUGCCUUGCUUGCUUGCUAGCCAAAAUGCAUUUCUGAGGCAGGAAAUCAAAAACACAUCCCAAGCCCUGAAAGUAGACUGCCCGCACUCGCCCUGCUGCCAUUAGAGGCUGUCAGGAGGCUGUCAGCUCCAGGAGCCACCGCCACCCAAGGCAAGGCUGCCCCGGUGCCUCCUCCCUGGGAGCGUGCUUUCUGAUCACCCUUUGCUAACAGACAGUGAGGAAAUAUUGCACUGCUGUUGCAGCUGCUUGGAGAACUCCUCAAAUACAGUGCAAACACCGCACUGAAACAAAGCAACGGGAGAAUGCUGCAGCAGAGACCUCAGCUGAGAGGCAAGAUGCAAGAUUUAUUAUGACACAGUGCAGAGGAUAUCUGAAAGGGAAGUCUAACCAAAGCAUUAAUGUGUCUUUUCCUCUUUCCUUCCCUCUUCCCCCUACCCCCCAUGUUAUUUUCCUUUGCAAUUCCUAUGUAUACAUAUAAAAUUGUUUCUUUUCUCAAGUGAAACGGCAUCUAAAAUGAUGAAGAAUUUUAGGAGGUGACUGUUUCCUAAGAUCUUUUCUACUUGUUUUGUUCUGUGUUCCAGUGUUCUCUACCCACAGGACUCUGAAACGCUGAGAUUUCAGCAGUUCAUAUGUCUGCCUGCCCACCUCUUUUAUUAAAGGGUUGUGUUUCUCUUCUGUCAACACCUAUUCUUUAGCAUACAUCUCUGCUAUCAUUCAGGAAAAUGUUGGCAUAACAUUUUUUUUUUCUUUUUCUUUUUUUCCUUUUAAAUUCAUUUCUGUAGCCGGGCUUUUCCUUUUAAGUCUCCUUCAUUUCUGUCAUCGGUUUCAACCCCGAAGUUCUCACUUUUGCAAGACAAUGCGCUAUUUUCACACGUGUAAAACACUGAGCAAAGUGGAAUCGCAGAUGUCACAUUUACAUGUUUAUGUUUUUUGUUUCUUUUUUUUUCUCUGCCGGUCGCUCACUUCAACUCUCCAAGCCCAAGAUACUGCAGUGGAGCUGAGAUUCCCUGCGUUCCUGCAUGCAGACCUCCAGCUUUCUGAAACGAGUAGUAUGAUAUAGGUGAACUCAUCUGAGGAUCAGGUGGGAGAUGGAGUACAGAAAGAUCAACACAUGAUGUGUGGUAAGACGAGAAAGGAGAACUUCCUAGGUCAAUUUUGUCCUGCACAGAAGAGUCUGUCCUUGCCUUUUUGUUCAUCUGCAGCACUGUGAGGAAACCAAAGGCAGCCUGUUCGUUCUGUGGUCACUUACUGUGUUCUGAUGGAGCCAGGAAGAAUAGAUAACAACCAACAGCAACUGUAACUGAAGUAGCAUGGGCUGCUCAAGAAGCACAUUGGAUCCCUUACCUCUGUGAGCAAAUGAUGCUAGUGACCUGCCAGACACAUCUCCAUUCCAUACUUUCCAUGGGACCAGUGUCCCAUCUGGUCACUCUGUGUCGUCCAGCGCCCAGGCAGUACGCACUUCGUGUUCUUUGAACCUGUGAUGCCCAAAGCUCCAUCACUAUUCUGAAGGCUCACGUAGUCCCAAACACAGCAGGAAGAGGAGAGGGAAAAUAUCAGAGGAUUAGCUGAAUUAUUGCUAAUGAUGGGGAAAAUCUAAGAAAUCGUCUCAUAUUGUUGCAGCACUUCUUGGACUGAUUGGUCCAUAAAUCACUGUUAGUGGGAGAGACUUCUCACACUGUGGAUUUUCUCCAUGCGUCCUGACCUUUGCUGUGAUGUGACUUGUCAUAAUCCAGUAGAGAACAAAGUCUGCUUUGUGACAAACCAUUUCACCGACUCAGCAUGUGAAAUACGUAGGCAAGGACAUGGAAAGAAGAUGGUACACCACCAGGGAAUUCUAGCAGGGUGGAAAACCAUCCAGGACUCGUGACCUUGGUACCAUCUAGCCCAGACAAUUCCCUACGCUAUCAAUCUACAUGUAUUGUUUACUAUCUCCAGUGCAGCAGUGUGUUGUUUGGUGCAACUGCUGCCAGUCCCCAUUUCACCCCAGAUAAAUUCCCAUUCUGCUUCCCAUUCUGCACUGAUGGCCAGUAGAGGUGUCUGCAGAAUUUGGCACGUCUUCAAAAGCAAGUAAGAAGAGGGAAGCUCAGACAACCUAGAAGAUAGAGAGUGAGGACACUGGGACAGAGGUUUUCCUCUCCAAGAUGACACAAAGGAGAAAAAGACUUGACACAGAAGCAGCCAGGUCCUCAGCUCUAAGCAGGUUCGCUGCCAGAAACCAGGCAUCAGGGAUUUUACACCGGAGAACUGUGUCAAUAUCUGUGUACUUAGUCACAUUUUCCUGUAAUAAAAAUCCAUUUUAGGCACUCUGAUUCUGAUAAUGUGGGAACUGGCACAUAAUUUAUAUUUCCAAAGCUGUUUUUUUUUUUUCCUGAUUCUGUUUCCCCAGCAUUUUUCAUGAGUAAAUCUCCUUUUUGUCUUUCAGCACUUUUUAUCUUUUAUUUUUUUCUUCUUUUCUUUUAACCACUGUUUCCAGUGUCCUUCUCCCUGGACUAUGCCCAGCCACAGUGGUCUGGGUUUGUAAUUAUGGCAAAAACUUGUCUCAUGACUAGGCGAUGACUAGAGAUAAUUCCCCAGAAGAAACACCUACAGAUGAAUGCCAUUUCUAUUCUUUUCCUCUCCUUUUGCUCGGAAUUGUCAGGCUGCUGCUCACCCACUGCUUCUUAUUUUU